RNAcentral lists this long non-coding RNA (279 nucleotides) under Sinocyclocheilus grahami. RNAcentral describes it as "lncRNA (ENSSGRG00000046564.1)". The record is from RNAcentral. Lineage: Eukaryota; Metazoa; Chordata; Actinopteri; Cypriniformes; Cyprinidae.
ACCCAGUCUCCUAUCCCAUCAUCAAGAACGGAUGCAUUGUGGAUGAAACGGUUCGGUUUUUCUUAAGCCACCAACCAUUCGUCCAGUUAGAAAUGGAGGCCUUCAAAUUCAUUGGGUUCCAUGACCAGGUCUUCAUCAGCUGCUCAAUCAUCAUAUGCCAGGCCAACAAUCCCAACACCCGCUGCUCUCAGGGCUGCGUCAACAGCACAGUCGCUCCACCGGCCCACCACCAUCACAAAAGAGAGGCUCCCCUCCAGACCGACAGUCACUUCAUCUCCC